Molecule: ribosomal RNA, 237 nt
Filed under: uncultured bacterium
Lineage: Bacteria
Description: partial 16S ribosomal RNA
Rfam family: Bacterial small subunit ribosomal RNA
Source: RNAcentral
GUGAGUAACACGUAGAUGAUCUACCAUAAAGUUGGGGAUAGCUCAUGGAAACAUGGGGUAAUACCGAAUAAGCUCUUAUUAUUUUGAUGAUAAGAGGAAAGGGGCGUUUGCCUCGCUUUAUGAUGAGUCUGCGGUACAUUAGCUAGUUGGUAGGGUAAAGGCCUACCAAGGCGACGAUGUAUAGCCGGCCUGAGAGGGUGAACGGCCACACUGGGACUGAGACACGGCCCAGACUCC